CGGGCGGGCAUUCCUGCCGGCGCCGCCCCCGUGCCCGCGGGCGCGGCCUCUCUUCAGCCCUCAGCGGGAGACCCUCAGCGCAAUAUGGCGGCGGGCCGCGCUCCACCUGCUUCUGCCCCGAACCCUGACCCUGCGGCGGGGAUGGCGAUCGCCAAGUUGGAGAGCGGGUGAGGGAAGAAAGGCCCUUUGGAGUUAAUGUGUGUGGGCGACUCGUGUGCUCGAUCGCCAGUCGCUAAAGGUGCUAUUUUUUUGUUGUUGUUGAUUUUUUUUUUUUCUGAAGCCCAAAAUGAAUUACUUCAAAUAAAAGGCAGGAUGGAUUUUUGUAUUAAAGCACAUUUUCAGCAUUAAAUAAAAGUUUGAGAAUCCACCAAAGCUACUACAAAGUGAGAAGGCUGCUUCAGCCGGCUGUGCUCUUGCAUCAAGAUUGUGCAACCAACCAACCGAUUCGUAGGCACGCAGACACAACGCACUGUGCCUGUGCCCCCUGUUCCUCACCCUUCAUCCCCCGCCAUGCUCCUGCAGAGCUCCCAGCUGCUUUACCUGCAGGAGCUGUGGCCUCCCGCCUGCUGGGGUGUGAGAACAGAUCGUAUUUACGUUGUCAUGGGCAACGGACUAUAGGACACAGGUCUUCCGGUGUGCCGCAAUGGCAUGCAGGUGAGCUCUGAGAUUAGGGAAACGUGCAGAUCCAAGCUGCUGUCUUCAAUGUCCUUAUUUCAAGAAAAGGAACUGGAAGCUUCAAAACAAGGCUGCACCCACAAUUGUUCCUUGAGAUUACAUGACGCUCUCCUUGACCAUGAUGGAGCUGUACAGGGACAUACUAGAUGAACACAGUUUAAACAUGCAUGUGAUCAAGCAAGGAAAAUCUAAAAUAAUUGUCUCUGUAACUGAAAUCCACCGUGAAUUAUUGAUUUUAUUAGUGAAAAUAAAUAGUAAAAAAAGCAAUAAGAAUUUGCUCAAACUGUUGAAUGAGAACAAUCACAUCACAAAGCAUUGUUUAAAAAUGUAUUAAGUGACAAUAGAUGUUCACAAUGUACUGGAUUUGUAAAGAUUAUUCUACACAUGUAAAUCCAGCCGUGUUUGUCCAAGACUUGAAGCAAAUGGAAACUAGGGGCAACACAGCUUUUACGUCUCAAAAUGAAAUAAUGAUCUUAAUGCAUACGAUAAGAAAGGAAAGAGGAAGGGAGUUCCCCUGUACAGGUAAUCUUUAUUUUACCUUCAUAUCUUCCUUUGUGCUAUUUUAUUUGGAGUCUGAUUAGAAGCAGAGCUCAGUGCCAUGUAUUUCAAAUAACCCCCUGCAAGACUGAAUUAUUUCUACAGGGACCAGAUCUUCUUUUUUUUUUAAGCAUCAAACUAGAGAUGUAAAAAGACAGUGUUGACAAAAAGAGCGGGUCAAAUAAUGCUGACCAACUUAGUUCAUGUGCUUCACAAAUGGAACGCAGAUGUGUGCCUACAGCAGGCAUGAGUAGUAAAGGGAGGUGAAGGCAAAAAAGUCUCCACUGGAUGAUAGAGAGAAAAAAUCUACAUCACUGACAUUUCUAUUGCUCUCACUGUAAGGAUGAUGCUGUAGGAAUUCAAAAAUAAAGUAACAAGCUAUUUCAACUAGUGUCAAAAUUCAGAAUUUCAGGGCUAAAAUAAGCACACAAAAUAAAAUGUACAAUUAAUGGA
This is a long non-coding RNA of Tympanuchus pallidicinctus (lesser prairie-chicken), 1665 nucleotides long. RefSeq lists it as uncharacterized. The record is from RefSeq and is a predicted model, not a curated record. The transcript has 2 exons. NCBI's taxonomy places the organism in Eukaryota, Metazoa, Chordata, Aves, Galliformes, Phasianidae.